This 22-nucleotide microRNA is filed under the name Triticum aestivum (bread wheat). RNAcentral's name for it is "tae-miR1124". The record is from miRBase by way of RNAcentral. Lineage: Eukaryota; Viridiplantae; Streptophyta; Magnoliopsida; Poales; Poaceae.
GCAGGACGUGAAGAGCGAGUCC